UAAAAAAAGGUAAGCUACUAAGAGCGAAUGGUGGAUGCCUUGACUGGUAAAGGCGAUGAAGGACGUACUAGACUGCGAUAAGCUACGGGGAGCUGUCAAGAAGCUUUGAUCCGUAGAUUUCCGAAUGGGGCAACCCAAUGUAUAGAGAUAUACAUUACCUAUAUAGGAGCGAACGAGGGGAAUUGAAACAUCUUAGUACCCUCAGGAAAAGAAAUCAAUAGAGAUUGCGUCAGUAGCGGCGAGCGAAAGCGCAAGAGGGCAAACCCAGUGCUUGCACUGGGGGUUGUAGGACUGCAAUGUGCAAGAGGUAAGUUUAGCAGAACAUUCUGGAAAGUAUAGCCAUAGAGGGUGAUAGUCCCGUAUGCGAAAAACAAACCUUAGCUAGCAGUAUCCUGAGUAGGGCGGGACACGAGGAAUCCUGUCUGAAUCCGGGUCGACCACGAUCCAACCCUAAAUACUAAUACCAGAUCGAUAGUGCACAAGUACCGUGAGGGAAAGGUGAAAAGAACUGAGGUGAUCAGAGUGAAAUAGAACCUGAAACCAUUUGCUUACAAUCAUUCAGAGCCCUAUGUAGCAAUACAGGGUGAUGGACUGCCUUUUGCAUAAUGAGCCUGCGAGUUGUGGUGUCUGGCAAGGUUAAGCAAACGCGAAGCCGUAGCGAAAGCGAGUCUGAAUAGGGCGCUUAGUCAGAUGCUGCAGACCCGAAACGAAGUGAUCUAUCCAUGAGCAAGUUGAAGCUAGUGUAAGAACUAGUGGAGGACUGAACCCAUAGGCGUUGAAAAGCCCCGGGAUGACUUGUGGAUAGGGGUGAAAGGCCAAUCAAACUUCGUGAUAGCUGGUUCUCUCCGAAAUAUAUUUAGGUAUAGCGUUGUGUCGUAAUAUAAGGGGGUAGAGCACUGAAUGGGCUAGGGCAUACACCAAUGUACCAAACCCUAUCAAACUCCGAAUACCUUAUAUGUAAUCACAGCAGUCAGGCGGCGAGUGAUAAAAUCCGUCGUCAAGAGGGAAACAACCCAGACUACCAGCUAAGGUCCCUAAAUCUUACUUAAGUGGAAAACGAUGUGAAGUUACUUAAACAACCAGGAGGUUGGCUUAGAAGCAGCCAUCCUUUAAAGAAAGCGUAAUAGCUCACUGGUCUAGUGAUUUUGCGCGGAAAAUAUAACGGGGCUAAAGU
This 1174-nucleotide ribosomal RNA is filed under the name Campylobacter jejuni. Its description in RNAcentral is "partial 23S ribosomal RNA". It matches the Rfam family "Bacterial large subunit ribosomal RNA", at positions 1 to 1188 of the family's 2925-position model. The record is from RNAcentral. Lineage: Bacteria; Pseudomonadati; Campylobacterota; Epsilonproteobacteria; Campylobacterales; Campylobacteraceae.